GAUUAAGUUAUUAAGGGCGCACGGUGGAUGCCUUGGCACUAGAAGCCGAUGAAGGACGUUACUAACGACGAUAUGCUUUGGGGAGCUGUAAGUAAGCUUUGAUCCAGAGAUUUCCGAAUGGGGAAACCCAACAUGAGUUAUGUCAUGUUAUCGAUAUGUGAAUACAUAGCAUAUCAGAAGGCACACCCGGAGAACUGAAACAUCUUAGUACCCGGAGGAAGAGAAAGAAAAUUCGAUUCCCUUAGUAGCGGCGAGCGAAACGGGAAGAGCCCAAACCAACAAGCUUGCUUGUUGGGGUUGUAGGACACUCUAUACGGAGUUACAAAGGACGACAUUAGACGAAUCAUCUGGAAAGAGGAAUCAAAGAAGGUAAUAAUCCUGUAGUCGAAAAUGUUGUCUCUCUUGAGUGAAGCCUGAGUACGACGGAGCACGUGAAAUUCCGUCGGAAUCUGGGAGGACCAUCUCCUAAGGCUAAAUACUCUCUAGUGACCGAUAGUGAACCAGUACCGUGAGGGAAAGGUGAAAAGCACCCCGGAAGGGGAGUGAAAUAGAACCUGAAACCGUGUGCUUACAAGUAGUCAGAGCCCGUUAAUGGGUGAUGGCGUGCCUUUUGUAGAAUGAACCGGCGAGUUACGAUUUGAUGCAAGGUUAAGCAGUAAAUGUGGAGCCGUAGCGAAAGCGAGUCUGAAUAGGGCGUUUAGUAUUUGGUCGUAGACCCGAAACCAGGUGAUCUACCCUUGGUCAGGUUGAAGUUCAGGUAACACUGAAUGGAGGACCGAACCGACUUACGUUGAAAAGUGAGCGGAUGAACUGAGGGUAGCGGAGAAAUUCCAAUCGAACCUGGAGAUAGCUGGUUCUCUCCGAAAUAGCUUUAGGGCUAGCCUCAAGUGAUGAUUAUUGGAGGUAGAGCACUGUUUGGACGAGGGGCCCCUCUCGGGUUACCGAAUUCAGACAAACUCCGAAUGCCAAUUAAUUUAACUUGGGAGUCAGAACAUGGGUGAUAAGGUCCGUGUUCGAAAGGGAAACAGCCCAGACCACCAGCUAAGGUCCCAAAAUAUAUGUUAAGUGGAAAAGGAUGUGGCGUUGCCCAGACAACUAGGAUGUUGGCUUAGAAGCAGCCAUCAUUUAAAGAGUGCGUAAUAGCUCACUAGUCGAGUGACACUGCGCCGAAAAUGUACCGGGGCUAAACAUAUUACCGAAGCUGUGGAUUGUCCUUUGGACAAUGGUAGGAGAGCGUUCUAAGGGCGUUGAAGCAUGAUCGUAAGGACAUGUGGAGCGCUUAGAAGUGAGAAUGCCGGUGUGAGUAGCGAAAGACGGGUGAGAAUCCCGUCCACCGAUUGACUAAGGUUUCCAGAGGAAGGCUCGUCCGCUCUGGGUUAGUCGGGUCCUAAGCUGAGGCCGACAGGCGUAGGCGAUGGAUAACAGGUUGAUAUUCCUGUACCACCUAUAAUCGUUUUAAUCGAUGGGGGGACGCAGUAGGAUAGGCGAAGCGUGCGAUUGGAUUGCACGUCUAAGCAGUAAGGCUGAGUAUUAGGCAAAUCCGGUACUCAUUAAGGCUGAGCUGUGAUGGGGAGAAGACAUUGUGUCUUCGAGUCGUUGAUUUCACACUGCCGAGAAAAGCCUCUAGAUAGAAAAUAGGUGCCCGUACCGCAAACCGACACAGGUAGUCAAGAUGAGAAUUCUAAGGUGAGCGAGCGAACUCUCGUUAAGGAACUCGGCAAAAUGACCCCGUAACUUCGGGAGAAGGGGUGCUCUUUAGGGUUAACGCCCAGAAGAGCCGCAGUGAAUAGGCCCAAGCGACUGUUUAUCAAAAACACAGGUCUCUGCUAAACCGUAAGGUGAUGUAUAGGGGCUGACGCCUGCCCGGUGCUGGAAGGUUAAGAGGAGUGGUUAGCUUCUGCGAAGCUACGAAUCGAAGCCCCAGUAAACGGCGGCCGUAACUAUAACGGUCCUAAGGUAGCGAAAUUCCUUGUCGGGUAAGUUCCGACCCGCACGAAAGGCGUAACGAUUUGGGCACUGUCUCAACGAGAGACUCGGUGAAAUCAUAGUACCUGUGAAGAUGCAGGUUACCCGCGACAGGACGGAAAGACCCCGUGGAGCUUUACUGUAGCCUGAUAUUGAAAUUCGGCACAUCUUGUACAGGAUAGGUAGGAGCCAUUGAAACGUGAGCGCUAGCUUACGUGGAGGCGCUGGUGGGAUACUACCCUAGCUGUGUUGGCUUUCUAACCCGCACCACUUAUCGUGGUGGGAGACAGUGUCAGGCGGGCAGUUUGACUGGGGCGGUCGCCUCCUAAAAGGUAACGGAGGCGCUCAAAGGUUCCCUCAGAAUGGUUGGAAAUCAUUCAUAGAGUGUAAAGGCAUAAGGGAGCUUGACUGCGAGACCUACAAGUCGAGCAGGGUCGAAAGACGGACUUAGUGAUCCGGUGGUUCCGCAUGGAAGGGCCAUCGCUCAACGGAUAAAAGCUACCCCGGGGAUAACAGGCUUAUCUCCCCCAAGAGUUCACAUCGACGGGGAGGUUUGGCACCUCGAUGUCGGCUCAUCGCAUCCUGGGGCUGUAGUCGGUCCCAAGGGUUGGGCUGUUCGCCCAUUAAAGCGGUACGCGAGCUGGGUUCAGAACGUCGUGAGACAGUUCGGUCCCUAUCCGUCGUGGGCGUAGGAAAUUUGAGAGGAGCUGUCCUUAGUACGAGAGGACCGGGAUGGACAUACCUCUGGUGUACCAGUUGUCGUGCCAACGGCAUAGCUGGGUAGCUAUGUGUGGACGGGAUAAGUGCUGAAAGCAUCUAAGCAUGAAGCCCCCCUCAAGAUGAGAUUUCCCAACUUCGGUUAUAAGAUCCCUCAAAGAUGAUGAGGUUAAUAGGUUCGAGGUGGAAGCAUGGUGACAUGUGGAGCUGACGAAUACUAAUCGAUCGAAGACUUAAUCAA
RNAcentral lists this ribosomal RNA (2923 nucleotides) under Staphylococcus argenteus. Its description in RNAcentral is "LSU rRNA". It matches the Rfam family "Bacterial large subunit ribosomal RNA". The record is from RNAcentral. Lineage: Bacteria; Bacillati; Bacillota; Bacilli; Caryophanales; Staphylococcaceae.